RNAcentral lists this long non-coding RNA (2873 nucleotides) under Zalophus californianus (California sea lion). RNAcentral's name for it is "lncRNA (ENSZCAG00015010944.1)". The record is from RNAcentral. Lineage: Eukaryota; Metazoa; Chordata; Mammalia; Carnivora; Otariidae.
CUGGCCUCCGCGGGGAGACCCCCGCCCGGGGCUCCGAGGCCGGGCGGCCACCCGCGGGGAAGCCCAGCCCUCCUCCAGACCCACUCGCUCCUCCGCCCUGCAGGGGGAGAGGGCUGAGGAGCGGGCGGCGGGAGGAGAGGGCAGCGCGACCCCCGGCCGCCGCCGCCGCCGCCGCCGCCGCCGCCGCCGCCUACCCCUACGCCACCUCGAGGGAGGGGGACACGGCUCUCCGCACUCGCGGCCGGACCAGCAGCCACCGGAGCGGGGCGCCGCCGCCGCUCUCCCCGCCCGCGCCCGCACCCCCAGCCCGGGCGCGCCCCCUCGCCUGGCGGGCGCCCACCGGCCCGGCAGCCCCCUGCCGUCAGUCCCUGCGCCCCGCGCGGGGGUGUCGGCCCGGGAGGCUGGAGCGGGAGAAGGUUGUAUGUACACACACACACACACACACACACACACACACACACACACACACCACACAAAGACGCGUCGAUUUCCUUCGCUCCUCUUCCAGCUGUUUUCGGUGCCGGCGACUGGGGUUUGGGGUUUGUUUGCUGGUUGUUGCUUUUGCCCCUCUGGAGAGCGGGGGUCUGGAAAUCUGCUUUGGGUACUGAAGUCCCCAGCCCCAGCCUUGGAAGAAGACCCGCGCACUCCUUUCGCAGCUGAUUCGGGAUCAUUAAUUUAAUCGGAAAUGAGGUAACCAGUGCAGGAGAUACAGAAAGCAAACCGAGCAUCAAAUGGCAGUUCUCAUGAAUCCACGCUGAGGAACUUCCUCUGCGCUCAAUGCUGAUGCGCGGUUCUCAGCUGCCCACCACCCCGCCCCCUCCGCGUGCACCACCGCCAGGUGUUAGUCGGUGGGAAGGAAUCCUCUGUGGACGGGUGCACCCUGCCAACAGGUGUGGCUCCUGGAGAAGAGGGAAGGCACCUCCGUGCUGAAGGGAGCUCAGUGCGGCGUUCUCCUUGCUGCAGAUAAUUCUGGAAGACCAGUAGGUGUCGGGGCAGCAUUUGACCUCUUUCAGGUGCUUAGAACCAAGUGUCUAGAAACAUGAUCUUUCCACAUAAGUUUCUCUCUGGAAGCCACCACUAUUGACUGUAAGCUGUAUUUGAGAAACCUUUGGCUGAGUUUACGUAUGACCUAACGGUUAGUCACCAACCGAAGCAGGAUACAGAAUCACCAAGAGAAAUGUGUCAGCUUUUAAACAACUGUAUUGUAGAGCCAACGUGCUACAGAAAUAAAAAUAAGCAUACUAACAACUAGGAAGGUGUAGAGCCCCGGAAAUAAUUUUUUUUCUCGCAUUUUGAAAUACCAUGCACAUAUACAUGGCUAUUUAAAUAAAACUACUACUGUUCACUCUGACUCGGUUCUAAAACUUUUUUUUUUCCUUUUUCAUUUAAAACGCAAUGAUUGCUACAGUUUAAACCCCAGGUCGGUUUAAAGUGACAUUGUUGGUCUCAUUACAGCCUCUAGUGGACAGUUGAAAUCAGUUUCCUGAAAAGGCUCUUCCUGGCGUUUUGUUGUUGACAAGCGUUAUCAAGGUGAAGGCUAAGAUCUCAGAACAGAACCGGAGACUGGCUCCUCCCCCUGCUUGGUGGAUUCCGCUCUCGAAAGGAUCAGAAGCAGUCGGUUCGGCACCGAAAAGACGAAUGCUUUGUGCUAUGGGCAUUAUUAUUACUGGCCUGUGAAUAAACAGAGCUUCUGCUAUUCAUUUCAGUUUCGGACAGCUUUCAUAUAAACUAACUUCAUCUAACGUAUUUUUGUAACAGAAAAUAUUGGUUGCCAUGUUUUUCUUCUGCGGACUGCCCAAUCCACCUCCACUCUAUUUUUAGACAUUUUUACUUUGAGAGAAUUUUCAGCCAAAAACAGCUAAUAUUUUAAUUAUUACACUGACACAGGCAGUUAAUUUAAGUUAUUUUAACAACCUUAAAUUAAAACACAUAAUUCAGAUUAGACUAAGUCAAUUAAUUUAAAUGUUCCCUUAAGGAAGCUGAAUAUGUAUAUUACCCAAACAGUAAAAACAAUAAGAAAUGUGUCAUUUACUUUCUUAGCUAUUAAGAUUAAAGCCAUAAAGUGUCAUUAAAGUCUGUAACUAUUCCUUCCUGCAAGGUGCCACGGAAACUAUUCUCCUGAUACAGUUUCGUUACCUUUAGUACUGCAUUAUUUUCAGAUGGCAAAAUAUUAAAUGUACAAAUAACUGACACUCAUUCUUUAAAAAUAAGGCUCUGUCAUGCAGAUAAAAACUCCAUGAAAGGGCUGGGCUUUCAAGAAGCCAGUAGGCAAAUAUGUAGUACUACGGUCCUAUUCAUAAAUCUGAUACUGUGUUCAUACAAACAUAAGUCAAACUUUAAAAUUAAAGGAAAUUGAGACGUAAGGCCUGCCUAGCCUUACUCCUAGUCUGUGUUCUGCAUUGCUCAAACACCAUGGAAAAUGAUUUUUUAUCCCUUAUAUCUACUUCAUUGUUUUGAUAGUAUCUACUUUUGAGGGCUUAAAGUAGGCUAUCAGUAUAUAUGAUAUCCUAUCGUUAUGUAUUACAUCUUGCUUCUUAAAAGCCUUAUCUUCAGAGUAGUGGUAGCAGCAGCUGGGAGCUUUUUAGAAAUUCAGAAUGAGAGUUCCACCCCAGACCUACUGAAUCACAAUCUGCCUUUUAGCCAGCACCCCUGGUGAUUUCCAAGCACGCUGUAGUAUGAAGAACACUGUCCAUACUACAGGGCUCUGUCUAGGUGCAUUUGCCCACGGAUGUAGAACUUAAUUCUUCUAUUUAUUCCUUUGGUAUUCCCUCCGCCUUUAACUAAUUUGCACUUUUUAAUGAAACACAAUUACACUGUAUGCUUUGGUCAGAUAGUACUGUAGUUCAGACAAGAGCCCUGAUUUCAUGCGCAAA